This 65-nucleotide transfer RNA is filed under the name Athripsodes aterrimus. RNAcentral's name for it is "tRNA-Ala". Lineage: Eukaryota; Metazoa; Arthropoda; Insecta; Trichoptera; Leptoceridae. The record is from RNAcentral.
AGGAUUAUAGUUUAUUUAUAAAACAUUUAAAUUGCAAUUAAAAAAUAUUUACUAAAUUAAUCUUA